Molecule: long non-coding RNA, 5603 nt
Filed under: Sus scrofa (pig)
Lineage: Eukaryota; Metazoa; Chordata; Mammalia; Artiodactyla; Suidae
Description: lncRNA (ENSSSCG00000057662.1)
Source: RNAcentral
CUUGUCCAAAGAAGCCACCUUUUAAAACAGGACGUAAUUGUCCAGUGAUCACAUUUUGCCAUGAUGCUCUGAUAUUAAAAAUCCAUCCUGCGGGGAAAAAAAUGAUUUAUAAGAAAUUCCAGGAAUGGAUCAACUGGCAGCGGAAAUGAUGACAGUGUUUUAGUCUCACUGUCAUUUACUUUUCUUGAUGCUGAAAAUGUAUUUGGAACAGAAUGAGAUGUUUACUAAUCAGCAGUACAAGGAGAUACAGGCUGAAAAAGGAAUCACUUACAGUAUGAACUGGGAGGGGCCCAGCGCUGGCAGCUACUUUGGGAAAGAGUCUUUGGCUCUUGAACACAGAACUAUGUCCCCUGAGCUUCUGCUGCCUACUCCCUGGCUGUUUGUCCCUGAUUAGGGCCGACUUUAUCUCCCUGGAGUGACAGGGACUUUCUCUAAUUCACAGGCAGGAGUCACAGAAGUCAGUAUUAGCCCUGGCUUUCUCAUCUCUUCUCUGGCCACAACCCUAAUUCUGUGUGCUUCAAAUUUAGGGCAAACCAGAGAUACAUUUAUGGUUCAUAUUAUUCAAAGAACAAAUUUUACCUUCUAGUAUAACUUGUAGUUACCAGUUGGUCUUAAACUGAGCUGUUUGUUUCUAACUCUCCUCAUGUUUUGGUGCAAUCCCAUUUUCCCUCAUAAUAUUACCUCCGUGUACCUCUCCACUACAUGAGAAAUAUACUUGAAUAUACUAAUAUGUGUUAUUUUCAGUUUUUCUAUCAUAUCUAGCUAUGACUAUUGCCUGAAGCAAAAGGACCUUAACCAAUACAUUAGCCUAAGAAGUUGUGCAAGCAAACACCAGGAUUGCUUAAUCAACAUGGCAGCUCUAUCUGCAAAGGUUUUUUUUUUUUUUUUUUUUUUUUUUUUUUAAGCCAAAGUAGUCUUGGCUGUAUUAGCAGCAUCAGGCAAUUACGGAAUCUGCUGCAAUAAAUGGCCAAGGUUAUGGCACCCAUAAAGUUUAAUUUGCAUUCUGAAUAUUACAAUGUGUUCACUGAGAAUGCAAAGCAGUCUCCGCAGGAUGUGAGCAGCUAAAUUACAGAGCAUUUUAGGUUGUUUUUGAUUCAUGCAAAGGCAGGAGGAUGGCUUGCUGGUGUGUAGUCGGCCUCAACCUUUGCCUCCUUCAGCAGGAUGUAAGGAGCAUGGAAGCAGAUGGUCCUUCUCGGCUGCUCUUGGAGGAGACACAGUCACCAGAUGGUCUGAUGUAAAUUGUGACUGGGCUACACCACAGCCAAUUGGAUUAUCUGGGUCAUUUGGGGUAUUCAUGUAGAUGACCAGAAGAUUGAUCAGGUUGCCAUGAUUGGAGCCUGUUGGUACAUGGAUAAAAAUGAUUUAGCCAAUUGCAUCAAGUCUGUCUUAUUCUAAGUCACCCCAUGAGAAACUGAGUUGGUAUCACACAGGGCCUCUAAAAUUGGGUGAGUGUCUCAUUGACAGAGAACUAAAAUGUAUAGGAUAUCGUAUUUCCAGAUCAACAAGAUGUACAGGGAUCACACUGCUACAGGGGAAGCCAGUCUUAGCCUGUAGCCAUUUUGGAUGCUUCCUCACAUGGUACCCUACAUGUUUGCAUCAGUAGGUGGGAGGGGAGGCCAGGGCCUAACUGAUGCUGAGCAGCUUCUCUGCCUGAUGUAUGGUGAGUGCCUGUUCCCUUUUCCCCAAGUGUCAGAGUCCAUGGAUAGCUUCCCAGUUUGCAUAAGGGGCAUCUUUCCGGGAUGUCUGUGCUCCACUUCUCUGCUGUGUCAUGGCCACGAGCAUCAUGGGUAUAGACUGAGGAAAUCAGCAGAAUUCUUUCUGGGUAAAACAAGGUGGAAUUUUAGGACAUCAGAAGAGACCAAAAGUAAGAGUGAGAAAGUGGCUAGAAAUAUCUUACCAUUCUUUCUCCUUAGAAAUAUGACCCUGCAAGCAGGUGAGGGCCCUCACUCAUUUGGCUAAAGCUCCAGAAUGUCAGGGGGCAGGGAGAUGAGUGAAGGGUGAAUAAGAGGCAGAGAGAGGAUGGAGGUCAGGGCUGCAGACAGAGCCUGGGACACAGUCCCCUCAUCCCUGUGAGUGAGGAGUGGUGGGGUGAGAAGUUUGGAGGGCAGUGUGACUGUGAGCAGCACGGCUGACCAUUCACUCUGGAGGGAAGUGUUCUGGCCCCUUUCAUUGCGCCACUGAAGGUAGGAUCAGGGGACCAGCUGAGACUUCUGACCAGCUCCUCCAUCUAAUUGAGAUUAAAAGUGUCCCCUCACGUCUUUAAUGAGUGUGUUGGCAUAGUAUUUUUUUAAAAGAGGAUUUUUUUAACAAAAAAGCAGACUCAAAGGCAUAGAGAACUAUUGGUUACCAGUGGAGCGAGGUAAAGGGAUGGGAUCAGUUUUGGGGGGGAGGGAUUGGGAAUUAUAGAUUAUUAGGUAUAGAAUAAGUUACAACGAUAUGCUGUACAACAUGGGAAAUAUUGCCAGUGUUUUAUGUUGGCUGUAAAUGGACUGUAACCCUUGGGGGUUUGGGGUCCCUGUGUUGUGCACCUGUAACUUGUAUGGUAUUGUAUAGCAACUAUACUUCGAUGAACAUAAAAAUAAAUAGAUAAUUUUUGGUGGGAAUUUGAAUUGGAGAUAUCUUAUGUAAUAAGGCAAAACACACACACCCACAUCAGCAAACAAGCCUUUGUAAAUGUGUAUAUGAGGCACACUAAACAAUUUAUAAUUAUUACUAUAUAGUCACUCAGAUAUAUAACAUGGAAAGAAAAUAAAAAUCACCCAUAACCCUCCAUUUGGGUUGUGGUGUAUAUAUUUCAUUCCCUGUGUGUGAGAAUAAUUUUGUAAGAGUUGCAUCAUUGGUGUAAACACACAUACACCCCUCUUACAUAAGCUUCUCCAUUUUGUAUGAUAAUCUUUCCUCCAUAUCAUUAAGUAGUUUCAGAAACAACAAACAACAUUUGAUGGCUAUAUUGUAACUUAUGUAAACUUUUCUUGUUUUAAUUUUCUAUUAUAGGGAACAUAUUUUUCUGCUAAUAAAUAAUACUGAAUGAACAUCUACGUAAGUAUAUGAAUAUCUGUCUUUUGGUUAAGUCUUUAGCUGUUUGAUAAAAGAGUUCUAACUGAAUUUUACUGCAGGGACAAAAGCCAUCAGGAAGACAGUGGUGAGAGACUCAGAGGUGCCCAUGGGCUCCAGCUUGCCCACUUCCCUCUUUCCACAUUCCAUUCUUGGACUGCAGGCCACUGUCCAGCAGUGGGCCCAGGCCUACCACCAAGGACUUGGCCCCCAUUGUGAGCCCAGCCCAGUGGCAGAAUGUACCUGCCAGCUCAGGUGGGCACCUGUGCUGCUGUCCCUGGUCCUGACUUUCCUCUGGUCCUUCACCACUCCUUUCUGGAUGAGGUCAUAUUACUUUAACACAUUUCUUAUUCCAUAACAUUCAUGGUGCUUCUGCCUCCCUGACUGAAUCCUGCCUAAUAAAGACAGUGUACCUCUCUGGGCUUCAACAUCCCCACAUGUGGAGUGGAACUGAUAAGUGCUUGUGUCAUACAGUUAUUGAUAUGUGUCAUAAAGUUUAAGGGAUGCUUAGAACAGAGUCUGUACAUAAGGAUUCUAAAUCUGACCUCUAUCUUCACCAUCAUCACUGGUAUGCUCAGGUACCUGCUGUAAGUUUAUAAUUUAGUCCGAACAUGAAUCUUAGCUUCUUUCUUUAAUUUGACAAAAAUCCAGAGACAUGGUAGAGCAUAAUAAAUUUUACUGGGCAAGUAUAGGUAGCUAUGACAGGGGAUUUUACAUCGUGGCAUUGCAAACAACUCCAAGUUGAAGAGAUAGAUUUCUUAUUAUUGAACUUUCUUCUGUUGCAGACCACUGGGUGCCCUCCUUGGUCUUUACCCAGUGUACCCAGAAUGUUCACCCUUGUGUCUCUUCUGGGCUAUUCUCUCCUUCCCUGCACUCCUCAUCUGCAAGUCUGUUUUCUCCCUCUGCUCAAGAGCACACCCUACUUAUUUCGUCCAGCAGAACAGCUGGGUCAUGGCUCUGUUAUCUAAACUAUUGCAGUAAUUCUCAACUGGGGCAAUUUUUAUCCCAAGGAGACAUCUGGCAAUGUCUGCAGACAUAGAUGGUUGUCACAACUGAGAGUGAUACUGUCAUCUAGUGGGUUCAGGCCAGGGAUGCUGCUAAACAUCCCAGAAUGAACAGGACAGCCUCUAUCUCUGACAAAGAACUAUAUAGGCUCAAAUAUUGCUAGUGCUGAGAUUCAGAAACCUUAAACUAUUACAAUACUCCUGCUCUCACAGCCCACCCCACUUAGCUUCCCAGAGUAGUUUUCCAAGGAAAGACAGUCUUCUUCCCGUGAGGAAUUUUGGAAAGGACACAUAUUUCCAAUUCUGUGCAAAUAGAAGCUGUGGCUCUUCCUACACUGUGACUCAGACUAUGCUCCAGUAGUUAGUCUGCAGGCCAGUUCCCACAGCUGGGCUGUCCAAUAGGAUAGCUUGUUGGUGCAUAUGGUUAUGAGAUUAUCAGUGUAAACAACAGGAAGACUUCAGCUUCCAAGUCAUACUGGCUGCAUGUCCCGUGGCUACCCCAUAUGCCUACCAAACUGGGCAGCACAGAAAAAGAACAUUUCCAUCUCCCUAGGAAGUUCUAUUGGUGAUGCCAUUGUAUGCCUCUGAAUGCAUACUCCCCCCUCUCUCUCUGGGCCUCUCUCUCAGUUCUCCUUACUUCUGGAUGAUCCAGUCAGUAAACCACUUUGGCCUUGCCACCAGAGCUGGCUAAAGGUGUAUAUUCGGCCUCAGGGAUGAGGAGAGUAAUUCAAAGAUGCAAGGCUCUUGAAAAGAGUAAUAAAGUCCUUGAGGGCAAGGACUAGUUCUUCUCUGAGGACCAUAGCACAUAGCAUGAUAACUGACACAUAGUCAGCAGUUAAAGAAUGAUUGUUUAAUGUGUACGGGGAUUGAUUUAUCUAAAAAGAAUUUAUGUGCUAGUUGCAUCUUGGGCACUCCACUAAGCAGAGUUGGCUAUGAAAUUCAUUUCAUAUAGCUAAAUAGAAGGGUAGAGUAAUAAACAGAGAAUGGGCAUGUGCUUUAGAAAGCUUGGAUUCUGUCCCUCACCAGCUAGGUGGCCUAGGUUGCUUGACCUACUUCUCUAUAAAGCAGGGAUUUAAUUUUUGACUUUUCUGCCUCCUGAGGUUUUUGUGAGGUUCAUAGCAUAUGUGAGAGCACUUUGUAGUAUAUAGAUACCAAUGGUUUUUAUUAUCACUGUAACACACAGUCAGUGGUCCCUGUUAGAAUUAUCAGGGGCCAUGUAUUUUCUCCCACUUGAACUCUAGCUUUCAGAUUUAAAAUAAUGUUGGCUUAUGUUACUACUGAAAACAUUUUUUAGUUACUUUGAGAUUAUCCUUUAUUCUCUGUUUUUUAUUUAAAAAGAAUCAGAGUUCUUGUUAUGGCUUUGUGGGUUAAGAACCUGACUAGUGUCCAUGAGGAUGCAGGUUCCAUCCCUCCUGGCCUCUCUCAGUGGGUUAAGGAUCUGGUGCCGAUUCAAGCUGCAAUGUAGGUUGUGGAUGCGGCUUGGAUCUGGCACUGUGGUCGCUGUGGCACAGGCUGGCAGUUGCAGCUUCGAUUCUACCCCUAGCC